UGGGCUUGACAUCCCGCUGACCGUUCUGGAAACAGGAUUUUCCCUUCGGGGACAGCGGUGACAGGUGGUGCAUGGUUGUCGUCAGCUCGUGUCGUGAGAUGUUCGGUUAAGUCCGAUAACGAGCGCAACCCCUAUCUUUAAUUGCUAACAUUCAGUUGAGAACCUUAAAGAUACUGCCGGUGACAAACCGGAGGAAGGUGGGGAUGACGUCAAAUCAUCAUGCCCCUUACGUCCAGGGCUACAGGCGUGCUACAAUGGCUGGUAUAAUAAGACGCAAUACCGUGAGGUGGAGCAAAUCUCCAAAGCCAGUCCCAGUCCGGAUUGGAGUCUGCAACUCGACUCCAUGAAGUUGGAAUCGCUAGUAAUCCCGAAUCAGAAUGUCGGGGUGAAUACGUUCCCGGGUG
Molecule: ribosomal RNA, 404 nt
Filed under: uncultured bacterium
Lineage: Bacteria
Description: bacterial SSU rRNA
Rfam family: Bacterial small subunit ribosomal RNA
Source: RNAcentral